UUGAACGCUGGCGGCAGGCCUAACACAUGCAAGUCGAGCGGAUGAAGGGAGCUUGCUCCUGGAUUCAGCGGCGGACGGGUGAGUAAUGCCUAGGAAUCUGCCUGGUAGUGGGGGAUAACGUCCGGAAACGGGCGCUAAUACCGCAUACGUCCUGAGGGAGAAAGUGGGGGAUCUUCGGACCUCACGCUAUCAGAUGAGCCUAGGUCGGAUUAGCUAGUUGGUGGGGUAAAGGCCUACCAAGGCGACGAUCCGUAACUGGUCUGAGAGGAUGAUCAGUCACACUGGAACUGAGACACGGUCCAGACUCCUACGGGAGGCAGCAGUGGGGAAUAUUGGACAAUGGGCGAAAGCCUGAUCCAGCCAUGCCGCGUGUGUGAAGAAGGUCUUCGGAUUGUAAAGCACUUUAAGUUGGGAGGAAGGGCAGUAAGUUAAUACCUUGCUGUUUUGACGUUACCAACAGAGUAAGCACCGGCUAACUUCGUG
This 483-nucleotide ribosomal RNA is filed under the name uncultured bacterium. RNAcentral's name for it is "partial 16S ribosomal RNA". It matches the Rfam family "Bacterial small subunit ribosomal RNA", at positions 30 to 507 of the family's 1533-position model. The record is from RNAcentral.